AGAGAAGGCCCAUAGUUCAGUGGCAGAACAGCUGCUUCACAUGCAGAAGGUCUCAGGCUCAAUUCCUGGCAUCUCUA
Non-coding RNA from Podarcis lilfordi (Lilford's wall lizard), 77 nucleotides. Lineage: Eukaryota; Metazoa; Chordata; Lepidosauria; Squamata; Lacertidae. The record is from the annotation of a GenBank genome assembly.